This 788-nucleotide long non-coding RNA is filed under the name Macaca mulatta (Rhesus monkey). Its description in RNAcentral is "lncRNA (ENSMMUG00000059221.1)". Lineage: Eukaryota; Metazoa; Chordata; Mammalia; Primates; Cercopithecidae. The record is from RNAcentral.
CAGAUUUACUUAAGUUUAAAAAUGUGAGUUGACUUAAAGAAAGUUGUGAAGUAAAUAAUGGAACAUGGAAUGUGGGUAUGAUAAAGUUCUGAAGAUGCCCCACAAGAGUGCACCUUCUGAAACAUGGCCCUACCAUGACGUCCUUUCAUGACGCUGCCUUUGCACACACAUUAGCGUAAAGGAACUCGGUACUUGGGGGAAAACAAUGAAAUGAAUGAAUCAUCUCUCCCUUCUCUUCCAACCAACCAACAAAUGAAUGGACCACCAGCAACAAAAGGUUCCAAUGAAGAUUUGAUGAAGGCAAAGAAGCUGCAACACCUUUCAGACCUUUGGGCUCACACCAUUAAUACCUCUGAUCUUGAAGACAAACGACAAUUUGGGUUCAGCAGAGCAAGCAUUAGAUUUCCCUGUGCAGACCGUGUUGUGAUUCAAUGGCCGUUACUUGUCUGCAGGCAAUGGAGUGGCUCUAGAGAAGGACACACAUCUUGUAGCAAUGCAUCUGACUCAGGUAUGAUUGACAGCAAAGUGGAAGCUAUAAGACUUUCUAUAACCUGGCUCAGAAACUAUGGGAAUUCAUGUCUGCUGCAUUAUGCUGGUAAAAAGUGAGUGAGAAGGCCAGCCCAAAUUCAAGAAAGGAGACCACACAAGAAUGUGAAUAACAAGAGGCUGUUUCAUUCUGAGGUCACCUCUGGAGCCUAGCUACCAAAUGUUGUUUAUUAAAUUUUCUAACUAUUUAAAUAAAGAUAUACAUUUACUUAUAAGCACAGCUUUUUCUGCAUUAUCUAGGU